CAGUCGCCGCGGUAAUACGAAGGGGGCUAGCGUUGCUCGGAAUCACUGGGCGUAAAGGGUGCGUAGGCGGGUCUUAAAGUCAGGGGUGAAAUCCUGGAGCUCAACUCCAGAACUGCCUUUGAUACUGAAGAUCUUGAGUUCGAGAGAGGUGAGUGGAACUGCGAGUGUAGAGGUGAAAUUCGUAGAUAUUCGCAAGAACACCAGUGGCGAAGGCGGCUCACUGGCCCGAUACUGACGCAGAGGCACGAAAGCGUGGGGAGCAAACAGGAUUAGAUACCCGUGUAGUCCCUGUCUCUUAUAA
Molecule: ribosomal RNA, 301 nt
Filed under: uncultured bacterium
Lineage: Bacteria
Description: partial 16S ribosomal RNA
Rfam family: Bacterial small subunit ribosomal RNA
Source: RNAcentral